UACGUAGGGGGCAAGCGUUGUCCGGAAUCAUUGGGCGUAAAGAGCGCGUAGGCGGCCCUGUAAGUCCGCUGUGAAAGUCAAGGGCUCAACCCUUGGAUGCCGGUGGAUACUGCAGGGCUAGAGUCCGGAAGAGGCGAGUGGAAUUCCUGGUGUAGCGGUGAAAUGCGCAGAGAUCAGGAGGAACACCGAUGGCGAAGGCAGCUCGCUGGGACGGUACUGACGCUGAGGCGCGAAAGCGUGGGGAGCAAACAGG
Molecule: ribosomal RNA, 253 nt
Filed under: uncultured bacterium
Lineage: Bacteria
Description: partial 16S ribosomal RNA
Rfam family: Bacterial small subunit ribosomal RNA
Source: RNAcentral